UUAAUCCCUGUCCAGUCAAGUUGAUCCCUGUCUAGUCAAGUUGACCAUUGUCUAGUGGAGUUGAUCCCUUUCCAGUCAGGCUUUUGUUAAAAGUUAGUACAUCAUACAUGAACUAUCAUAGGCACUUGACUCAGAAAAAAAAUCCAAUAUACCUUAAAAUAACACAAGGUACUUAACUCAAAUUUUUGAAAAAUUUCACCUGGUUGUGAAAUUCCGUUAUAUUUCAAUUUCUCGGUUGUCAAUCUCACUAAAAUCUGUUAUGCCUUAAAUAUAAAUGGAUUUAUCUACACAAUGAUGUAUAACACGCCUACCUUUGUUGUCUGAAUCAUUUUGAGCAGGCCUACCCAAGUAUAUCAACUGUAAUUAUUUCGUCUACCAACACCCGA
This 386-nucleotide long non-coding RNA is filed under the name Mytilus galloprovincialis (Mediterranean mussel). Lineage: Eukaryota; Metazoa; Mollusca; Bivalvia; Mytilida; Mytilidae. The record is from RNAcentral.